UAGUGGCGAACGGGUGAGUAACACGUGAGUAACCUGCCCCUGACUCUGGGAUAAGCGUUGGAAACGACGUCUAAUACUGGAUAUGACUGCCGGCCGCAUGGUCUGGUGGUGGAAAGAUUUUUUGGUUGGGGAUGGACUCGCGGCCUAUCAGCUUGUUGGUGAGGUAAUGGCUCACCAAGGCGACGACGGGUAGCCGGCCUGAGAGGGUGACCGGCCACACUGGGACUGAGACACGGCCCAGACUCCUACGGGAGGCAGCAGUGGGGAAUAUUGCACAAUGGGCGAAAGCCUGAUGCAGCAACGCCGCGUGAGGGAUGACGGCCUUCGGGUUGUAAACCUCUUUUAGUAGGGAAGAAGCGAAAGUGACGGUACCUGCAGAAAAAGCACCGGCUAACUACGUGCCAGCAGCCGCGGUAAUACGUAGGGUGCAAGCGUUGUCCGGAAUUAUUGGGCGUAAAGAGCUCGUAGGCGGUUUGUCGCGUCUGCUGUGAAAUCCCGAGGCUCAACCUCGGGCUUGCAGUGGGUACGGGCAGACUAGAGUGCGGUAGGGGAGAUUGGAAUUCCUGGUGUAGCGGUGGAAUGCGCAGAUAUCAGGAGGAACACCGAUGGCGAAGGCAGAUCUCUGGGCCGUAACUGACGCUGAGGAGCGAAAGCGUGGGGAGCGAACAGGAUUAGAUACCCUGGUAGUCCACGCCGUAAACGUUGGGCGCUAGAUGUAGGGACCUUUCCACGGUUUCUGUGUCGUAGCUAACGCAUUAAGCGCCCCGCCUGGGGAGUACGGCCGCAAGGCUAAAACUCAAAGGAAUUGACGGGGGCCCGCACAAGCGGCGGAGCAUGCGGAUUAAUUCGAUGCAACGCGAAGAACCUUACCAAGGCUUGACAUACACCGGAAACGGCCAGAGAUGGUCGCCCCCUUGUGGUCGGUGUACAGGUGGUGCAUGGUUGUCGUCAGCUCGUGUCGUGAGAUGUUGGGUUAAGUCCCGCAACGAGCGCAACCCUCGUUCUAUGUUGCCAGCGCGCUAUGGCGGGGACUCAUAGGAGACUGCCGGGGUCAACUCGGAGGAAGGUGGGGAUGACGUCAAAUCAUCAUGCCCCUUAUGUCUUGGGCUUCACGCAUGCUACAAUGGCCGGUACAAAGGGCUGCGAUACCGUAAGGUGGAGCGAAUCCCAAAAAGCCGGUCUCAGUUCGGAUUGAGGUCUGCAACUCGACCUCAUGAAGUCGGAGUCGCUAGUAAUCGCAGAUCAGCAACGCUGCGGUGAAUACGUUCCCGGGCCUUGUACACACCGCCCGUCAAGUCAUGAAAGUCGGUAACACC
RNAcentral lists this ribosomal RNA (1316 nucleotides) under Curtobacterium sp. RNAcentral's name for it is "bacterial SSU rRNA". It matches the Rfam family "Bacterial small subunit ribosomal RNA", at positions 93 to 1421 of the family's 1533-position model. The record is from RNAcentral. Lineage: Bacteria; Bacillati; Actinomycetota; Actinomycetes; Micrococcales; Microbacteriaceae.